ACGGGAGGCAGCAGUGAGGAAUCUUGCGCAAUGGGCGAAAGCCUGACGCAGCAACGCCGCGUGGAGGAUGAAGGUCUUCGGAUUGUAAACUCCUGUCAGACGGAACGAACGGUGCCGACCUAAUACGUCUGGCACCUUGACGGUACCGUCAGAGGAAGCCACGGCUAACUCUGUGCCAAGCGACCCGCGGUAAU
Molecule: ribosomal RNA, 194 nt
Filed under: uncultured bacterium
Lineage: Bacteria
Description: partial 16S ribosomal RNA
Rfam family: Bacterial small subunit ribosomal RNA
Source: RNAcentral